AGAACAUGCACCGCUGCUGCCCAGGCUCCAAUAAGGGCAGGGUUGGCGCGUGUGGGCUUCUCUAAAGGGAAACAUGGCCAGUAAUUUUAAAAUCCAUCCCCUCUUCAAUGAUAGCAAAUAUAAAAGCAACGGGCUGCAAGGUACACGUAUGUUUAAUGAAAAAUGGAGGGACGUGGUGAGUAUCUCCUGCUGAAGAGAGAGGAAAAUUUAAGUACUCUGCAUGUGUAUAUUGAAGCAUCACUAAUUUAGGAUAUUGAUGAAACUAGCCUAUGCAAUUGCAUUUUUUUUACAAAAAAUGUUAAUUUCAUAGAAACUCUUAAAAACAUGGGUACUAGCCGAUAAAAUGAGUCAAUUAAGACUAUUGCCACCUGCAGUAAAAUGGACCUCACAUUUCUCUUGACUACAGUUUUGUCAGAUCUAAAAUGAGGGUAGCCUUAAGUGAUUUCCAAAUUUCUUUCCAGGUCACAUUAGAUGAAUCUGUACCUUGGGACCACCACACCGUUAAUAUAUAAGACUGGAUUACAAUUAAAGGAUGAGGAAGCUUUCUCAAAGGGUGCUUUGUAUGUGUUUACUAGUUGUGCAAACCAUGAACCUCGGUAAUGUGGUUAAUAGACCAUGAAAAGGAUGUGGUUUCUGCCCUCGGCUUAAAACAAAGACAGCAAUAAGACUAAAAGUACUUCAGGGCACAUGAGAGCAAAUUUCAAUCAAUACUUAUAGGAGAGGGAAGUUAAUUUUGCCUGAAGAGAAGAUCUGGCCUGCAUUAUGCAUUAAUUAGUAUUAGCUAAAAACUAUGUGGACCUAGCCCUUAUCAUUAAAAUAAAACACUCAAGGGUUUACAAACUAUUGAAAUUUAAGAAAAUGUCUUUGCAAUGAAUGCUACUAAGACUCACUGUUAUUAAGUACAUACAUAUCAAUUCCAUAAACUCAAUGGAAAACAUUUUACUGUGCUUGUAAAAAGAAGUGACUCAUAAACAGGAAUUCUGUCAUUUUAUCACUUUCAUGAUAGAAUGAUGUGUAGAAUUUGUUUUACAAUGCUCCAGAAAUAAAAUGUAGGGAAUGGAAAGAAGAUAGGUGAAAGAAAAGUGGUGCAACAUCAGUCAGUGUUGAAGCUAAGUUCAUUUUGCUACUUUACCUACUCAUGCAUAUGUUGGAAAAUUUACAAAAUGAAAAGCUAAAAGGAGAGAGAGCAUCUUCAGCAUGAAAGACAGCCAUUACCAAAGCAUUUCCUAUCUUUAACAAAAACUGAAGUCUUAGCCUUCAGACUAAGGAUGGUAGGAAGAAAGUAGCAAGGAAGUAUGGGACUGACCUUGCCGUAAGGAGUCACAGACCAGGGUAAGGGACCUGUUGCUGUCAGACCAUGAUUGGCAUCUUAGCCCUGACACUUCCUAGCCAUGUGAUUUGGGGCUAAAACUAGUCCACACCAAAGUUCUCUUAAAAUGCGGGUAGUAAUAGAACCUGCUCCAAAAGGUGGCUGUGAAGAUUAUAUGAGAUAAGAAUAAUGCCUAGCACAUAUUCUAACUCAAAAAGCUUACAUAUUAGGUUGGUGCAAACAUAAUUGUGGUUUUUGCCACAAUAUUGCCAACACUAAUAUUAUUAUUUGGAGGCAACAAUACGCUGUAAUGUCUAUUUUUCUUAUACUAAAGUUAACUUCACUUAGCAUGAUACACAAUGCCUCUCACAGCCCAGCUUCAGUUUUGCCCACUUUACAUUCCACUAUUCCCAGAGUUCCCUGUGUCCUAGUAACACAAAGCUACUCCCCAUUCCCAAAGCACAUUGUGUACUUCAGUGUCUCCUUGCUCCUUCAUUCUGAUUAGAACACUCUUCUCCAGUUGUCCAGUGAAUCAUUCAGUCUCUGUCAUGUAGUCCACACUGUACCUCUGAUAGCUCAUGCAGAAUGAGCUGCUGUCUCUUCUCAGAUCCAAUUGCUCUUCUGUAUAACUGAUAUGGUUUGGCUCUGUGUCCCCAUCCAAAUCACAUUUUGUAGCUCCCCUAAUUCCCACGUGUUGUGGGAGGGACCCCAUGGGAGAUAAUUGAAUCAUGGGGGCGGGUCUUUCCCAUGUUGUUCUCGUGAUAGUGAAUAAGUCUCAUGAGAUCUGAUGGUUUUAAAAAUGGUAAUUUCCCUGCACAAGCUGUCUCUCUUUUGGCCUGCUGCCAUCCGCGUAAGACAUGACUUACUCCUCCGUGCCUUCCACCAUGAUUGUGAGGCUUCCCCAGCCAUGAGGAACUGUGAGUUGAAUAAACACUUUUUCCUGUAUAAAUUACCCCGUCUCGGGUAUGUCUUUAUCAGCAGCGUGAAAAUGGACUAAUACAAUAACUUCACCACAUACCUUUCAUAGUAUAAUGCAUUUAUAUGUAGCUAUCACCCUCUACCCUCACUCCUCCAACCACUACUAAAAACUCUUCAAGGUCAAGGGCUUUACCUUAUAUAUCUUUGUGUCCCCUGUAUUGCAGAAUACCCAUCCCAUAGAUGUACUUGGGAUAGACAGCUUCUGGCACUCCUCCCAAGAUCUCUCCCUCCUGGUAUUCAGGCCCUUGUGUGAUCCUUUCCUCUUGAGUGUGGGUUGGGCCUGGUGACCCACUUCUAACAGAAGAUGGGAAAACUGAUGGAUUAUCACUUCUUUGUUAAGGUUACAAAAACCUGAGACUUCCAUUUUGCUGGAAACUUCUUUUCCUCUUGCACACUCACUCUGCGACUCUGUGUGGAGAGCUCCAUGUGACAAGGGAGGUCUGCAGCCUAAGCAACUGAGACCUCAGCCCAACAGCCCUCAAAGAACUGGAUCUUCAAACAACCACAUGAGUGACCUAGAAGCAAAUCUGUCACCAGUGCUCUUGAGACGGGCUGAAGUAUUUAAUCACCGG
This 2859-nucleotide long non-coding RNA is filed under the name Homo sapiens (human). RNAcentral describes it as "HSALNT0399495". The record is from RNAcentral. Lineage: Eukaryota; Metazoa; Chordata; Mammalia; Primates; Hominidae.